This 143-nucleotide ribosomal RNA is filed under the name Cladonia clavulifera. RNAcentral describes it as "partial 18S ribosomal RNA". Lineage: Eukaryota; Fungi; Ascomycota; Lecanoromycetes; Lecanorales; Cladoniaceae. The record is from RNAcentral.
GAUAACCCGCAGUCACACCCGUGACUCACAGGCUAAAUGGUGAUGGGCGUAGAUGUUAGGCAUCUAUGCUUCAGAUAUAGUCGGUCCCCAGAUGUCUCUGGGAGUAUGUAAACGUUCCGUAGGUGAACCUGCGGAAGGAUCAU